Molecule: ribosomal RNA, 253 nt
Filed under: uncultured bacterium
Lineage: Bacteria
Description: partial 16S ribosomal RNA
Rfam family: Bacterial small subunit ribosomal RNA
Source: RNAcentral
UACAGAGGUGGCAAGCGUUGUUCGGAAUUACUGGGCGUAAAGGGCGCGUAGGUGGCCUUCUUAGUCAGACGUGAAAUCCCCAGGCUUAACCUGGGAACUGCGUCUGAUACUGGAAGGCUCGAGUUCGGGAGAGGAAUGUGGAAUUCCAGGUGUAGCGGUGAAAUGCGUAGAUAUCUGGAGGAACACCGGUGGCGAAGGCGGCAUUCAGGACCGAAACUGACGCUGAGGCGCGAAAGCCAGGGGAGCAAACGGG